AUAGUAAAAUAUUAAAGAGUUUGAUGUUAGCUCAGUUUAACAUUAGCUAGACAAUUAACACAUGCUUAUGAAUAUUGAUAAUUAAAAUUAUCAUUAUUUGUGUGAAGGUGAGUAAAAAAUUAGUAAUACCCUAAUAAAAUGAAUUAUCUAAUUGAAUUCUUAAGAUUUUGUAAAUACAUGCUUUGCAAUUUAUAAUUUACAUAAAUCUAUUGAUUAAUCUUUAGAUUAAUCAUUAAAUAAAAAUAAAUACCUAUUAAAUAUCUAUCAUAAUUUAUGAAUUAUCAAAUAGAUUAAAUAGAUUAAAUAGAUUAAAAUAUUUUAUAGAAUUGAUCAUGUGUAACAUGAUUAUUAAGGUUAGAAAUUAAUCUUGAAUUUUUAAAUUUUUAAAUUUAUAAAUUUAAAGGAUUUACUAAUUUGCAAAGAGGUUGUUGGGAUAAUUAAAUAACAUUAUCUUUGAUAAUGUGGAGAAUUUGUAUGUAUCUACAAGCCGUUAUUAUUUGUAAUCAACAAUUUGAAAGGAUUGUAUCACAUUGGUGUUAAAAGAAACCAAAAUGAAUUUAAUUCAUUCAGCAGUGUUGAGAAUUGGUCAAUGUUUUUAAAAAGAAUGAACCAGUGAUCUAGCCUGACGAAACAAAAUGUAAAGUCAAAUAAAAAAAGAAAGGAUAACAAAAUAAUCUCAGCCAAUAUAUCGUGCCAGCCGCUGCGGUUAAACGAAAGAGAUAAAUGUUAAACAUCAUUAUUAGGUUUAAAGGAUACGCAGAUGGUUAAACUUAUUAUUUAAUAAAUAUUAACUAGAGUAUAAUAGAAGAUUAUAGAAAAUAAAAGGAGAGAUGAAAUUCAAUGAUCUUUAUUUAACUGCUUAAAGUGAAAACAAUAAUCUUACUUUAUACUGACAUUAAGGUAUGUAAGCUAAAUUUAACAAAUAGGAUUAGAUACCCUAGUAGUUUUAGCCGUAAACGAUAAUUGUUAGAAAUUAGAUUCAAUCAAAAUCUAAGUUAAAUCUAUAUUAAUUAAAAAUAAGAAUAAAUCUUAUAUUAAUUAAAACAAUACUGAUUAAUUACUAAUUUAUUAGAUUAUUAUUUAGUUUCUAUCCGAAAGGAUUAAACUAUUUCGCAAGAUUGAAACCCAAAACUUUAGACGGUUCUAGAAACUAGCAGUGAAUCAUGUUAUUUAAUUCGAUAAUCCACGUAAAAUCUUACCUUUAUUAAAAAAAAUUAAUGUCAACGAAUUCAUAUGAAUUCUUAAUGUAGUCUGUAUGAAUAAAUUUAAUUAAAUUUAUUCUUCAUGGAAAUGCAUAAAAACUUAUACUAAUUUAGGCAAUCAUGCAAUGCAUGAUUUCCAUGAAGAAUACCAAUGGUAUUCGUCUAUUACUAAAUUAAUUUUUUGGUAUCGCGUGGCUGUCUUUAGUUUGUGUUGUGAAAUGCUUGGUUAAUUCCUAUAACAAACGCAAACCUUUAAAUAAUUAUCUCCAUAAUUUUUAUUGAUUAAAAUACUAUUAGUAUUUUUUAAUAAGGACGAAGACAAGUCAAUAUGUAUCGUAAAUGUAAAGGGCUAUAGACGUGAUAUAAAAAGUUAUACAAUUUUAAAAUAACUUAAUGUUCUAAUAAUUAUCUGUUACUCGAUAAUUUGAAGGAGGAAUUGCUUAGUAAUCGUUAAUCAUUAUGUAACGGUGAAAUUUUUAUCUAGAAUGUACUAACUACUCGUCAAGCGCGGAAAGAAUCUUCUUAUUGAAUUUUUAAUUCGUGUUAAGUCUAAAUAAGGUAGCUGUAGAGGAAUCUGUAGCUGAAUUAUUAUUAAAGGAAAAUAACCCCCCCCACCC
RNAcentral lists this ribosomal RNA (1819 nucleotides) under Schizosaccharomyces japonicus. RNAcentral's name for it is "partial ribosmal RNA". The stretch from base 500 to 1798 matches the Rfam family "Bacterial small subunit ribosomal RNA". The record is from RNAcentral. Lineage: Eukaryota; Fungi; Ascomycota; Schizosaccharomycetes; Schizosaccharomycetales; Schizosaccharomycetaceae.